Non-coding RNA from Thermoplasmatales archaeon SG8-52-2, 96 nucleotides. Lineage: Archaea; Methanobacteriati; Thermoplasmatota; Thermoplasmata; Thermoplasmatales. The record is from Rfam.
GCCGCCUUAGCUCAGUUGGUGGAGCACUCGGCUGUUAAAGGGGAAAAAACUCCUACAGCUACCGAGCGGUCACCGGUUCGAGUCCGGUAGGCGGCG